Molecule: small nucleolar RNA, 131 nt
Organism: Balaenoptera acutorostrata (minke whale)
Lineage: Eukaryota; Metazoa; Chordata; Mammalia; Artiodactyla; Balaenopteridae
Source: RefSeq, a predicted model, not a curated record
GAUCAUGUAGUACUGAAAUAUUUACUGUUUAAAAAUAUCUGUCAUUGGAAACGCCUCAUAGAUUAACUGUGUGGUUUCCUUUACUCAUAGAACUACCUGUUAGAUCUGUGGGAAAGAACUACAAGACAGAG